GUCUACGCAUCACCCUGAAGCACGCCCGAUCUCGUCCUGAUCUCGCGGAAGGCUAAAGCAGGGUCAGGCCUGGUAGUACUUGGAUGGGGAAGACCUCCUGGGAAUCCGGUUGCUGUAGGCU
RNAcentral lists this ribosomal RNA (121 nucleotides) under Chelonoidis abingdonii (Abingdon island giant tortoise). Lineage: Eukaryota; Metazoa; Chordata; Testudines; Testudinidae. The record is from RNAcentral.